AAGUCGUAACAAGGUUUCCGUAGGUGAACCUGCGGAAGGAUCAUUCAAGUGAAUCUUUAAAACUUCAUACCCCAAUGUGAACCAUUAGUUACAGUGCCUGUUUUUUCUGGGUUUUUCUUUUGUUGGCUGCGUUUUCUUUCAUUAUCCUAGCCGUAAUUCUAGCACUUUUAAGUUCAGAGAAAACGGAAGAAGGAAGUAAAAUGCUACCUAAAAUAUAGUAUACCUUUUGUACCCACAACAACAUACUUCUAAUAGGGUGAAGACCUUUGAAAAAAAUACUUUAAACAAUUUACAACUAUUAACGGUGGAUCCCUCGGCUCUCA
This 323-nucleotide unclassified non-coding RNA is filed under the name fungal sp. Its description in RNAcentral is "partial internal transcribed spacer region". The stretch from base 1 to 46 matches the Rfam family "Eukaryotic small subunit ribosomal RNA", at positions 1786 to 1831 of the family's 1831-position model. The record is from RNAcentral. Lineage: Eukaryota; Fungi.